AAGUCGUAACAAGGUUUCCGUAGGUGAACCUGCGGAAGGAUCAUUAAAGAAUUUGAAUGAGAUGCAAAAUGGAUUUCAUGGGAUUUGUGGGGGGUCUUUGUCCUUCAUAUUUCCUUGAAUUCAUUGCAUUUCUUUAAUAUUCAUACUCACACUAACAUGGGAAACUGUGUUAUGUGUUUUAUUAUUUAGAAUCAUUUUUUUGUAUAACAUUAGUCUUUUUAUCUUUUAUUUUAAUUCGAGUUGUUUCACAACUUGAUUAAAUUAAAUAAAAAACAAUUUAACAACUUUCAGCAACGGAUCUCUUGGCUCUC
Molecule: unclassified non-coding RNA, 311 nt
Filed under: fungal sp.
Lineage: Eukaryota; Fungi
Also listed under: 1 other name
Description: partial internal transcribed spacer region
Rfam family: Eukaryotic small subunit ribosomal RNA (bases 1-46)
Source: RNAcentral